This 492-nucleotide ribosomal RNA is filed under the name uncultured bacterium. RNAcentral's name for it is "partial 16S ribosomal RNA". It matches the Rfam family "Bacterial small subunit ribosomal RNA", at positions 29 to 507 of the family's 1533-position model. The record is from RNAcentral.
AUUGAACGCUGGCGGCAUGCUUUACACAUGCCAGUCGAACGGUAACAGGCCUUCGGGUGCUGACGAGUGGCGAACGGGUGAGUAAUGCAUCGGAACGUACCCAGAGGUGGGGGAUAACGCAGCGAAAGCUGUGCUAAUACCGCAUGUGAUCUGAGGAUGAAAGCGGGGGACCGAGCAGCAAUGUUUGGCCUCGCGCCUUUGAAGCGGCCGAUGUCGGAUUAGCUAGUUGGUGGGGUAAAGGCCUACCAAGGCGACGAUCCGUAGCUGGUCUGAGAGGACGACCAGCCACACUGGGACUGAGACACGGCCCAGACUCCUACGGGAGGCAGCAGUGGGGAAUUUUGGACAAUGGGCGCAAGCCUGAUCCAGCAAUGCCGCGUGCGGGAAGAAGGCCUUCGGGUUGUAAACCGCUUUUGGCAGGAACGAAACGGUGUCCGCUAAUACCGGGCGCUAAUGACGGUACCUGCAGAAUAAGCACCGGCUAACUACGUG